This 395-nucleotide unclassified non-coding RNA is filed under the name Hevea brasiliensis (rubber tree). The record is from RNAcentral. Lineage: Eukaryota; Viridiplantae; Streptophyta; Magnoliopsida; Malpighiales; Euphorbiaceae.
CAUUGUCAUAAGCAUGUAGAAUAAGAUAUUCACAAAUGGACUCCUCCAAUGGGUUCAUCUAUGGGUGGUCUCAAGCAAACCUCCCUGUUGCAUUGGUUAAGCUUCCUCUAUCCUCUUUGGCUUACACCUCACCCGUGAUCUUUAUUUUACUCUUCUGGAACUGAGUCGAAAGUGAUUGUCUGGCUGUCCUUUCUGCAAUCAUCAAGAAGGGUCCUGAUCGCUCACAUUUGGGAACUCUGAUUGCAUUUCUUGUCUAAUUCUUUUCUUUCCACUGCUCCUCAUCAAGCCAAUUCUCUGGCUCAUGCUUUACAUUCUGCUAGUGACAUGGUUUGCAUUGAGAAGGUGCCUAAUGAACUAAUGGCCCUUGCUUUUAUUGAUGUUUCUUCUGAUUAGCC